RNAcentral lists this ribosomal RNA (492 nucleotides) under uncultured bacterium. RNAcentral's name for it is "partial 16S ribosomal RNA". It matches the Rfam family "Bacterial small subunit ribosomal RNA", at positions 29 to 507 of the family's 1533-position model. The record is from RNAcentral.
AGUGAACGCUGGCGGUAGGCCUAACACAUGCAAGUCGAACGGCAGCACAGUAAGAGCUUGCUCUUACGGGUGGCGAGUGGCGGACGGGUGAGGAAUACAUCGGAAUCUACUUUUUCGUGGGGGAUAACGUAGGGAAACUUACGCUAAUACCGCAUACGACCUACGGGUGAAAGCAGGGGAUCUUCGGACCUUGCGCGAUUGAAUGAGCCGAUGUCGGAUUAGCUAGUUGGCGGGGUAAAGGCCCACCAAGGCGACGAUCCGUAGCUGGUCUGAGAGGAUGAUCAGCCAAACUGGAACUGAGACACGGUCCAGACUCCGACGGGAGGCAGCAGUGGGGAAUAUUGGACAAUGGGCGCAAGCCUGAUCCAGCCAUACCGCGUGGGUGAAGAAGGCCUUCGGGUUGUAAAGCCCUUUUGUUGGGAAAGAAAAGCAGCAGGUUAAUACCCCGCUGUUCUGACGGUACCCAAAGAAUAAGCACCGGCUAACUUCGUG